GCCCGAGUGGUGGAAUUGGUAGACACAACGGAUUUAAAAUCCGUCGGCCGCAUGGCCUUGCCGGUUCAAGUCCGGCCUCGGGUA
RNAcentral lists this transfer RNA (84 nucleotides) under Ferrimonas balearica DSM 9799. It matches the Rfam family "tRNA". Rfam says of the family: Transfer RNA (tRNA) molecules are approximately 80 nucleotides in length. Their secondary structure includes four short double-helical elements and three loops (D, anti-codon, and T loops). Further hydrogen bonds mediate the characteristic L-shaped molecular structure. tRNAs have two regions of fundamental functional importance: the anti-codon, which is responsible for specific mRNA codon recognition, and the 3' end, to which the tRNAs corresponding amino acid is attached (by aminoacyl-tRNA synthetases). tRNAs cope with the degeneracy of the genetic code in two manners: having more than one tRNA (with a specific anti-codon) for a particular amino acid; and 'wobble' base-pairing, i.e. permitting non-standard base-pairing at the 3rd anti-codon position. The record is from Rfam by way of RNAcentral. Lineage: Bacteria; Pseudomonadati; Pseudomonadota; Gammaproteobacteria; Alteromonadales; Ferrimonadaceae.